This 1779-nucleotide ribosomal RNA is filed under the name Systellaspis pellucida. Its description in RNAcentral is "SSU rRNA". It matches the Rfam family "Eukaryotic small subunit ribosomal RNA". The record is from RNAcentral. Lineage: Eukaryota; Metazoa; Arthropoda; Malacostraca; Decapoda; Oplophoridae.
GAUUAAGCCAUGCAUGUGUCAGUACAGGCCGCUCUAAGGCUAAACCGUGAAUGGCUCAUUAAAUCAGUUAUGGUUCAUGUGAUCUCAACCCCCUUACUUGGAUAACCCUGGUAAUUCUAGGGCUAAUACGUGACGACUCAUACUCCGACUGGAAGGGAGGAGUGCUUUUAUUAGAUGAGAACCAACGGCGGAUCUCGGUCCGCCGGACGCCAACUGCCGAUUCUGAAUAACUUUGUGCCGAGAGCACGGCCUGGGCGCCGGCUCCGUAUCUUUCGAGUUUCUGCCUUAUCAUGCUGUGGAUUGUAGGCCAUGCGCCUACUGUAGCUGUCACGGGUGACGAAGAAUCAUAGUUCGAUUCCGGAGAGGGAGCCUGAGAAACGGCUACCACAUUCAAGGAAGGCAGCAGGCACGCAAAUUACCCAAUCCCGGCCCAGGGAGGUAGUGACGAAAAAUAACAAUGCGGGACUCAUCCGAGUCUGCGUAAUUGGAAUGAGCACACUUUAAGUCCUUUAGCGACAACCGAUUGGAGGGCAAUUCUGGUGCCAGCAGCCGCGGUAAUUCCAGCUCCAAUAGCGUAUAUUAAAGUUGUUGCGGUUAAAAAGCUCGUAGUCCGAGAUCAGUUACGGACUGGCCGGGGAGGUCGCUUCCCCGCCAGGCUCCGAACGCAGGCCUCCCUCAAAAGGGGGGGCCGCANCCGGUUUUUCCGGGUGUCCCGCGCGGCCGGCCCGUUCACCUUGAACAAAUGAGAGUGCUCAGAGCAUUCUACUCCAAGUAAAAGCCCGAAUGUUACCUGCAUGGAAUGAUGGAAGAUGAUCUCGAUUCCAUCCUGGUCUGGGAAUCCGAGAUAAUGAUAAACAGGGACUGUCGGGGGCAUCCGUACUACGACGUGAGAGGUGAAAUUCAGUGACCACCGUAGGACGAACGACAGCGAAAGCAUUUGCCAAGAAUGUCUUCGUUGAUCAAGAACGAAAGUUAGAGGAUCGAAGGCGAUCAGAUACCGCCCUAGUUCUAACCCUAAAUGAUGCUGACAAGCAACCUGCCGUCGCUAUUCCCAUGGCUUGGAGGGCCGCCCCCGGGAAACCUCAAGUUUUUGAGUUCCGGGGGUAGUAUGGUUGCAAAACUGAAACUUAAAGGAAUUGAUGGAAGGGCACCACAAGGAGUGGAGCCUGCGGCUUAAUUUGACUCAACACGGGAAACCUCACCAGGCCCGGACACCAGAAGGAUUGACAGAUUAAGAGCUCUUUCUCGAUUUGGUGGGUGGUGGUGCAUGGCCGUUCUUAGUCGGCGGAGUGAUUUGUUAUGGCUAAUUCCGGUAACGAACGAGAAUAUGGCCUGCUAAAUAGUCGACGUGGGUCCCGCUGUGCACGGGCCCCGUAUCGACCCUAUAUCUUCUUAGAGGGAUGAGCAGCGAGUCUAGCUGCAGGAGAUUGAGNAAUAACAGGUCNGUGAUGCCCUUAGAUGUCCUGGGCUGCACGCNCGCUACACUGGACGGGUCAGCGGGUUCNCCUUCUCCGAGAGGAGCGGGAAAUCGCUGCAAACCCNUCCGUGAUAGGGAUUGGGGCUUGCCAUUGUUUCCCAUGAACGAGGAAUUCCCAGUAAGCGCAAGUCAUCAGCUUGCGUUGAUUAAGUCCCUGCCCUUUGUACACACCGCCCGUCGCUACUACCGAUUGAAUGAUUUAGUGAGGCCUUCGGACUGGCGGUCCUGGACUGGGUUCCGCUUCCGGCGGACCCGGCCACCACUCGCCGGAAAGAUGUCCAAACUUGAUCAUUUAGAGGAAG